UACGAAGGGGGCUAGCGUUGUUCGGAAUUACUGGGCGUAAAGCGCACGUAGGCGGAUACUUAAGUUAGGGGUGAAAUCCCAGAGCUCAACUCUGGAACUGCCUUUAAUACUGGGUAUCUCGAGUCCGAGAGAGGUGAGUGGAAUUCCGAGUGUAGAGGUGAAAUUCGUAGAUAUUCGGAGGAACACCAGUGGCGAGGGCGGCUCACUGGCUCGGUACUGACGCUGAGGUGCGAAAGCGUGGGGAGCAAACAGG
Molecule: ribosomal RNA, 253 nt
Filed under: uncultured bacterium
Lineage: Bacteria
Description: partial 16S ribosomal RNA
Rfam family: Bacterial small subunit ribosomal RNA
Source: RNAcentral